GUGAUCUGAGUCCCAAUGGGUCAUGUGAUUUCUGUAACUCAUGUAAUAGGUCCCAAUGGGUCAUGUGAUUUCUGUAACUCAUGUAAUAGGUCCCAAUGGGUCAUGUGAUUUCUGUAACUCAUGUAAUAGGUCCCAAUGGGUCAUGUGAUUUCUGUAACUCAUGUAAUAGGUUCCAAUGGGUCAUGUGAUUUCUGUAACUCAUGUAAUAGGUCCCAAUGGGUCAUGUGCUUUCUGUAAUAUGUCAUUCUAUGUCUUUUUUUUUACUGUCUGAUAUUCCUAUUAAUUAUGUUAAUAUGUAUUCCUAUUCAUUAUAUACAUUUUAUAUAUAUUCAUUAUGUUAAUCUUUAUUUCUAUUUAUUAUGUAAAUGUUUUCUUCCUAUUCAUUAUGUGGAUUUUUAUUUAUAUUUUUGGUCUCUCUUGUCUCGAACAUAGUAGUAUUGUAGUAGUGUAGUACUGUAAUACUCUAGUACUCUAGUACUGUAAUACUCUAGUAGUCUAAUACUCUAGUACUGUAAUACUCUAGUACUGUAAUACUGUAGUACUGUAGUACUCUAGUACUGUGAUACUGUAAUACUGUAGUACUGUAAUACUGUAAUACUCCAGUACUGUAGUACUGUAAUACUGUAGUACUGUAAUACUGUAGUACUAUAAUACUGCAAUACUCUAGUACUGUAGUACUGUAAUACUCUACUACUGUAGAACUGUAGUAUUGUAAUACUGUAAUACUCUAGUACUGUAGUACAACAAUGUUGUAGUGUGUGGGUGUGUGUGCGUGCGUGUUCAUGCACUGAUCACGUUUUAGAAAAAACAAUCACGGUUGUAAAAAUUGACAUCAACUGCAAGCACAGUCAUUGGUUCCCUGAGAUUGCCCAAUAGGAAGCCGACCCAUGCUGCUACAAAAAAACUGAGCAAACUAGAAUGCUAUUUGGCCCUAAACAGAGAGUACACAGUGGCAGAAUACCUGACCACUGUGACUAACCCAAACUUAAGGAAAGCUUUGACUAUGUACUCAGUGAGCAUAGCCUUGCUAUUGAGAAAGGCCACCGCAGGCAGACAUGGCUCUCAAGAGAAGACAUGGUCUGUGCAACACUGCCCACAAAAUGAGGUGGAAACUGAGCUGCACUUCCUCUAACCUCCUGCCCAAUGUAUGACCAUAUGAGAGACACAUAUUUCCAUCAGAUUACACAGAUCCACACGAAUUAGAAAACAAACCCAAUUUUGAUAAACUCCCAUAUCUACUGGGUGAAAUUCCACAGUGUGCCAUAACAGCAGCAAGAUUUGUGACCUGUUGCAACCAGAAAAGGGCAACCAGUGAAGAACAAACACCAUUGUAAAUGCAACCCAUAUUUAUGCUUAUUUAUUUUCCCUUGUGUACUUUAACCAUUUGCACAUCGUUACAACACUGUAUAUAUAAUAUGACAUUUGAACUUUUGUGUAAUGCUUACUGUUAUUUUUUAUUGUUUAUUUCACUUUUGUUUAUUAUCUAUUUCACUUACUUUGGCAACGUUAACAUGUUUCCCAUGCCAAUAAAGCCUCUUGAAUUGAAAUUGAAAUUCAGAGAGAGACUUUUUGUCUUUCUUUAAUGAUAAUGAUACAUGCUCAUAUCAUUUCAUUAAAACCUCACCCCCCUUUAAAACAAAUAUCCCCUGUGAUGCAUCCUCACCUUGCCCUCUACCCCACGAUACAAAACAACACCACACAUCACAAUAACCAAAACCUCACCACUUCUACAACUGUAUAUCCAACCCAUCUUCCCUAGCUGUACAGACACCCCCUAUUCCCC
Molecule: long non-coding RNA, 1783 nt
Organism: Oncorhynchus tshawytscha (Chinook salmon)
Lineage: Eukaryota; Metazoa; Chordata; Actinopteri; Salmoniformes; Salmonidae
Source: Ensembl